Molecule: ribosomal RNA, 370 nt
Filed under: uncultured organism
Description: bacterial SSU rRNA
Rfam family: Bacterial small subunit ribosomal RNA
Source: RNAcentral
CGGAGGAUCCAAGCGUUAUCCGGAAUCAUUGGGUUUAAAGGGUCCGUAGGCGGGUUUAUAAGUCAGUGGUGAAAGCCCAUCGCUCAACGAUGGAACGGCCAUUGAUACUGUAGAUCUUGAAUUAUCUGGAGGUGAGCGGAAUAUGUCAUGUAGCGGUGAAAUGCUUAGAUAUGACAUAGAACACCAAUUGCGAAGGCAGCUCACUACGGAUAUAUUGACACUGACGGCACGAAAGCGUGGGGAUCAAACAGGAUUAGAUACCCUGGUAGUCCACGCCCUAAACGAUGGAUACUCGACAUCAGCGAUACACUGUUGGUGUCUGAGCGAAAGCAUUAAGUAUCCCCACCUGGGAAGUACGACCGCAAGGUUG